GGGUUGUGAGGUUAAGCGACUAAGCGUACACGGUGGAUGCCCUGGCAGUCAGAGGCGAUGAAGGACGUGCUAAUCUGCGAAAAGCGUCGGUAAGGUGAUAUGAACCGUUAUAACCGGCGAUGUCCGAAUGGGGAAACCCAGUGCAAUUCGUUGCACUAUCGUUAACUGAAUACAUAGGUUAACGAGGCGAACCGGGGGAACUGAAACAUCUAAGUACCCCGAGGAAAAGAAAUCAACCGAGAUUCCCCCAGUAGCGGCGAGCGAACGGGGAGCAGCCCAGAGUCUGAAUCAGCUUGUGUGUUAGUGGAACGGUCUGGAAAGUCCGACGGUACAGGGUGAUAGUCCCGUACACCAAAAUGCACAGGUUGUGAACUCGAAGAGUAGGGCGGGACACGUGGUAUCCUGUCUGAAUAUGGGGGGACCAUCCUCCAAGGCUAAAUACUCCUGACUGACCGAUAGUGAACCAGUACCGUGAGGGAAAGGCGAAAAGAAC
RNAcentral lists this ribosomal RNA (493 nucleotides) under Klebsiella pneumoniae. Its description in RNAcentral is "bacterial LSU rRNA". It matches the Rfam family "Bacterial large subunit ribosomal RNA", at positions 1 to 524 of the family's 2925-position model. The record is from RNAcentral. Lineage: Bacteria; Pseudomonadati; Pseudomonadota; Gammaproteobacteria; Enterobacterales; Enterobacteriaceae.